UACGUAGGGUGCGAGCGUUAAUCGGAAUUACUGGGCGUAAAGCGUGCGCAGGCGGUGAUGUAAGACAGUUGUGAAAUCCCCGGGCUCAACCUGGGAACUGCAUCUGUGACUGCAUCGCUGGAGUGCGGCAGAGGGGGAUGGAAUUCCGCGUGUAGCAGUGAAAUGCGUAGAUAUCUGGAGGAACACCGGUGGCGAAGGCGGCAUCCUGGACCAACACUGACGCUGAGGAGCGAAAGCGUGGGGAGCGAACAGG
RNAcentral lists this ribosomal RNA (253 nucleotides) under uncultured bacterium. RNAcentral describes it as "partial 16S ribosomal RNA". It matches the Rfam family "Bacterial small subunit ribosomal RNA", at positions 524 to 776 of the family's 1533-position model. The record is from RNAcentral.